AGAUUGCGAUAAGGAAAUCUCACGAGGUCAGACCUUUUACGUAGAAGUCACCAGGGUGCUAUCAGAGCCCUGCAGAGACUGCCGUCAGACGAACGUGCAUGUGUGAAAGGAGCGGCACACACACAUUCAGAUUGCCUUUGUGCACGUUUGAGGUCUCACCACUUUUCUGUGAGGACAGAGCCACCACCAGAGCCGGGUCGAUCUCACAGGGUAGACCUGCUGCUGACGACAGCUCGUAGACGUUCAUGGCCACCUGGAAACACACGAGGAGAGAGAACAUGAGCUAACGGUGACGUUCAGAGGAUAUUUCAUCUUUACUAGAAAUGUGUUGCACCUUCAUGUCCGUCUCUCGGGGAAUGUGGUCUUUAAAAUCCUCCACUGAGCUGACCAGGAAAGGAAUAUGACAGGACAGCACCUGCAGAGCGUAAGAAAGAGACGCAGCAUCAGGGCUCAGGUCAUGCAUGCUUCAGAUAAACCCAACCUGGUGUGUACGUGUGGUUAGUUUGCUGUGGAAGCUGUCAAACUAAUCCUGUUGCAAACCAAAAGAAGAAACCUUUAGAAGAAGAGGAACUCGCUCUGCUCGUGGAGCUGCAGCAUAUUCAACAGCUGAAUUACUAAUAAAUGCAACAACUGAUCGUGACCUGCUGCGGACCUUAAAAUCAAACUCUGUAAGUGACGAGCAGGUUUAUGUUACUCAAGCAGAAAGUCAAGAGCAGUUCAAUUGUUCAGUCCGUUAACACGUGUCUGACAUCCUGUAAAACGUCCCAGAAUAUUCCCGUACAAGAUGCCGUGCAUUCUCAGCGACCUCUCGUGGUUUGUAGGAGCCCCAAGUCAUCGAACACUACUUCAGUAACAGCAGGCUGUUCCGGCAGUCGCCUCACUUAGUCUGUUGCAGGACACAUGUUGACAUUAGUCAAGCCUCAAAACCUCACAUCCACGGAAAGAUGUUAUGAUGCGCUGAAGGUAGACACGACACGGUGCCGGGACAACCGAGUGAGAUGCACCUCGUCUUUGUUUGGGAGGGAGACGCCUGGCUGAGACCUGCACUGUGCUGCAUAACUCUUUUUGACACCAGAGAACAUAACAAUGUAGUGUGUGAGUUUCUUGAAGAGGGCGGCCAUGUGCUCCGGUUUGUCAAAGCUCGUCCUCAUCUGGGUCAACACCUCCAUGUUUUCUACCACCAGUUUCUACAUGAAGACAAACAUGCAGCAUUAAAACAUGUCUUCACUUCCUGUCCUACAGAAGGUUAUUGCAUCUAGAGGGACAGAGCUCGUGUGUGCAGGACAUGAAGUGUGUGCAGAGCAGAGGGAAGCAGAUGGAGUGUCGGCUCUGGGAGGGAAGCUCCAAGCACUGCUGGAACAUCUUCUCAAACGCACGGCUGUAGAAGCUACAAACACACAGAGCAGGAGAUCGAUGAAAUAAGGGAUAUACACAUACUUCAUACAAUGUGUGAAGUGUGUGUGUCUCACCAGAAAAUGGACAGGUCUGACGUCUCCACCAGCAUCUCCACCAGAGAGUCCACCAUCUUUGUGUGGAAGAUGAUGGUGUUCAUCAUUUUACCGAGCUCCUUGUGAUCGGCGAUACCGAGACUGGCUUUAGACACACUGGUGUAGGCCUGCAGAGGGAGAACAGAUUGUGUGUAACAGUGUAUACAGAGUGUGUACAUUCAUACCUGCACAAGUUCAUUCAGCACCACGGCAUCAAACCCGGACAGGUACUGGACGUAGUAUCGCUGCAUCACAGGACCGUACUUCCUGACGUGAGCUCUGAGCUCCUCCAUGUAGAAGAUCAACUCUGCUAUGUGUCUGCAAAACACACACAACCAUCAACAGACCUGGAACUGAAGCAGCAGCAGCUGCCAGAUGGGACGUAAGCCACGGAUGCACCGAUUGUGUCGCUGUGGGUGGAACAGGUGUAUGUUUGCGUACUUGUCUAUGAAGUCAUCUGUGCUUUUCUUCUGGAUGUUGUCCGCGUGUCGAAGCAGCCAGAUGAUCUCGUCACGGGCAAACGACAACGCCAUGAACACGAACAACGCCUAGCGGGACCAAAAGACGGAGGAAUAGAGAAAUAUGGAGGGAAAUGUCAAAAACUCCCCGAGAUAAAUAAUUCCAAGAUAAAUUACCAGGAGCAGUUGGCAGCAGCCGCUUCCUCAGUCUCUGAACCAAACACGCAAUAUGUUGCAUAUUAAUGCAAUCUGGCCUCGCAAAUAUAUUCUGUUAUACAUUCAUGAGCGGCUCCAUCAGGCCAGAGGAACCUACGUCAAUGCGUCCUGAUGAGAUGAGAAAUGUAUGUACACAUAUUUAAGGUGGUAUUGUACACACGAUCCCACUCCCACAUAACAGAGUCAAAAUAAAGGGACAUUUAAGUUGAAUUUA
Molecule: long non-coding RNA, 2375 nt
Organism: Cottoperca gobio
Lineage: Eukaryota; Metazoa; Chordata; Actinopteri; Perciformes; Bovichtidae
Exons: 4
Source: RefSeq, a predicted model, not a curated record